Molecule: ribosomal RNA, 438 nt
Filed under: uncultured bacterium
Lineage: Bacteria
Description: bacterial SSU rRNA
Rfam family: Bacterial small subunit ribosomal RNA
Source: RNAcentral
AACGAACGCUGGCGGCAGGCCUAACACAUGCAAGUCGAGCGCGCCUUCGGGUGAGCGGCGGACGGGUUAGUAACGCGUGGGAACGUGCCCUUCUCUACGGAAUAGCCUCUGGAAACGGAGAGUAAUACCGCAUACAAAAUUCGGGGGAAAGAUUUAUCGGAGAAGGAUCGGCCCGCGUUAGAUUAGAUAGUUGGUGGGGUAACGGCUUACCAAGUCUACGAUCUAUAGCUGGUUUUAGAGGAUGAUCAGCAACACUGGGACUGAGACACGGCCCAGACUCGUACGGGAGGCAGCAGUGGGGAAUCUUGGACAAUUGGGCGCAAGCCUGAUCCAGCCAUGCCGCGUGAGUGAAGAAGGCCUUAGGGUCGUAAAGCUCUUUCGCCUGUGAUGAUAAUGACAGUAGCAGGUAAAGAAACCCCGGCUAACUCCGUGCCAUCA